UACCGGCAGUUCUAGUUGCAACCAACAUUAUUGGGUCUAAAACAUCCGUAGCUUGUUUAGUAAGUUUCUUGUGAAAUCUGAUAUCUCAAAUAUCAGGCGUGCAAGAAAUACUGCAAGGCUAGAGAUCGGUAGGUGUAAGAAGUACGCCGGAGGUAGUGGUAAAAUACGUUAAUCUUCGGUGGACUCACAAUUAGCGAAGGCAUCUUACAAGGACGAAUCUGACAGUGAGGGAUGAAGGCCAGGGGCGCAAAACGG
This 255-nucleotide ribosomal RNA is filed under the name uncultured bacterium. RNAcentral's name for it is "partial 16S ribosomal RNA". It matches the Rfam family "Archaeal small subunit ribosomal RNA", at positions 474 to 727 of the family's 1478-position model. The record is from RNAcentral.